CUAAUAUCGUCUAGAUGUAACAACUUUUGGUUUGCACCAGAUACCGAUAUGCUUUGUAGUGUCACUUGGAUGCUAUGAACACCAUAAGAUGUGAAAGUCUUAGUGUAUUUGAUGGGUGAGCCAUACUAGAUGCAAAAUUGACCACAUAUGGUGAUGUACCAAAGGUUGUAGUAGUUACAAACAACUACCCUAAGUUGGUAGGAGGUCGGCUCUUUCUCAAUGAAACAUCUGGCAUUCAUCUAUUUUGAUCAUUAGUGUAGUGCCAGCA
Molecule: long non-coding RNA, 268 nt
Organism: Brassica oleracea var. oleracea
Lineage: Eukaryota; Viridiplantae; Streptophyta; Magnoliopsida; Brassicales; Brassicaceae
Exons: 3
Source: RefSeq, a predicted model, not a curated record